Teleopsis dalmanni is the source of this 1200-nucleotide long non-coding RNA. RefSeq lists it as uncharacterized. The record is from RefSeq and is a predicted model, not a curated record. NCBI's taxonomy places the organism in Eukaryota, Metazoa, Arthropoda, Insecta, Diptera, Diopsidae. The transcript has 3 exons.
UAAUGAACAGAACGCUUCAAAAAUUCUGCAAAAUUUAAGGUUAUCCGAUAGUCAGCAAAAUUCUUUGUGUUUGGGUUUUUCUGAUAGAAAAUGAAAAUCUAUUUCAGGAAAUUUCAUAGAUCGGAUCCCUACUUGGAGUGGAUAAUAUUAGCUUCGCUUGGAGUUAUACUACACAUACUGAAUAUCCAAAUAACAGAUUUAUGUUUUCCAAGUAAAUAUUUGUUUCGGAACACCUACACCUGCACGAUGGUAUGCUGUUCUUUGUUGAUGUUAAGCUGUUUGCAUGUCAGGUUACCGGAUAAUAUUCCGAAACCCAUCAAAAUCUACACACGGAUCUCUAAAUACUUUGUGUUCUUGAUAAUAUCUGAAUUCUUUUUAAAAGUCAUGACAAUCCCAGCUUUUAUGUUUGCAAAAUUUAUAUUAGUAAACCUGUCGUUCGAAGUGGUUUUAAAUUUUAUAAGGAAAUACUUCAUAUUCCGAUGGAUUUUUAACUUGAUCAAUUUUACCAUUAUGUUUAUUAUCAAUAGCUAUGUUUUGCUUCUCGCUUACCAAUCCAUUGGAUUGAAAAGAAUAUUAGAAAGCAAUUUCAUCCGUUACGUUAAGUGCAAGGCUCUAUUGAGUAGAAAGCCUACGGAUUCUUUUUGGUAUGUGAUUUUGGAAUUUCUGGAUAUAGAUCUAUUUGCCAAACCACCAAAUUUAAAUCAUGCCGAUCCAGUAACUCGAUGCAUAAUAUUAAAGGCAUUUAGAAUACACCGACGUAGACUAAAUAAUCGUCGAAUUCGUUCUACAGAUUUCUUCAGGGACUAAACCAAAUUGCAAACCCAAAGUUUUAGAUAUUUAAAAAAGCAAUUAGAAGAAACUUAGAAAUUGAAAAAUGGAAACAUGGGUAACAGGAAUAGAUUUUAUGUUGGUGAAGGAGAUGUCAGUUGACUGAAAUUACAAGUCCUUGACUAUUGGUUCUUUUUUUAUUCAUAGAGAAGUUAUUACAAGAUGAUGAUGACAAGAUAAAACAUCUAAAAAUCUACAAUUUAUAGGAUUCAAUAGUGUUGUAUCGGCUUUAAGAUAGUUUUGACGAAUCUUGGAAGUUGGAAUCUUGUGAUAACCUUAGUUAGAAUCGAAAAACCUGUACCAGUACUUUUUUUAAUCACUUAAACAUAAUUGUAUUAUUAUAAUGUAGGAAAAAUUUAAUUUUAAAAAUAA